GAUGAACGCUGGCGGCGUGCCUAAUACAUGCAAGUCGAGCGAACAGACGAGGAGCUUGCUCCUCUGACGUUAGCGGCGGACGGGUGAGUAACACGUGGAUAACCUACCUAUAAGACUGGGAUAACUUCGGGAAACCGGAGCUAAUACCGGAUAAUAUAUUGAACCGCAUGGUUCAAUAGUGAAAGACGGUUUUGCUGUCACUUAUAGAUGGAUCCGCGCCGCAUUAGCUAGUUGGUAAGGUAACGGCUUACCAAGGCAACGAUGCGUAGCCGACCUGAGAGGGUGAUCGGCCACACUGGAACUGAGGCACGGUCCAGACUCCUACGGGAGGCAGCAGUAGGGAAUCUUCCGCAAUGGGCGAAAGCCUGACGGAGCAACGCCGCGUGAGUGAUGAAGGUAUUCGGAUCGUAAAACUCUGUUAUUAGGGAAGAACAAAUGUGUAAGUAACUCUGCACGUCUUGACGGUACCUAAUCAGAAAGCCACGGCUAACUACGUG
RNAcentral lists this ribosomal RNA (497 nucleotides) under uncultured bacterium. RNAcentral describes it as "partial 16S ribosomal RNA". It matches the Rfam family "Bacterial small subunit ribosomal RNA", at positions 28 to 507 of the family's 1533-position model. The record is from RNAcentral.